This 254-nucleotide ribosomal RNA is filed under the name uncultured bacterium. RNAcentral's name for it is "partial 16S ribosomal RNA". It matches the Rfam family "Bacterial small subunit ribosomal RNA", at positions 524 to 776 of the family's 1533-position model. The record is from RNAcentral.
UACGGGGGGAGCAAGCGUUGUUCGGAUUUACUGGGCGUAAAGGGCGCGUAGGCGGCCAGCGCAAGUCAGUUGUGAAAUCUCCGGGCUUAACUCGGAACGGUCAACUGAUACUGCGCGGCUAGAGUGCAGAAGGGGCAACUGGAAUUCUCGGUGCAGCGGUGAAAUGCGUAGAUAUCGAGAGGAACACCUGCGGCGAAGGCGGGUUGCUGGGCUGACACUGACGCUGAUGCGCGAAAGCCAGGGGAGCGAACGGG